This 183-nucleotide ribosomal RNA is filed under the name Escherichia sp. Gen1. RNAcentral describes it as "partial 23S ribosomal RNA". It matches the Rfam family "Bacterial large subunit ribosomal RNA", at positions 2765 to 2925 of the family's 2925-position model. The record is from RNAcentral. Lineage: Bacteria; Pseudomonadati; Pseudomonadota; Gammaproteobacteria; Enterobacterales; Enterobacteriaceae.
UAAGUGCUGAAAGCAUCUAAGCACGAAACUUGCCCCGAGAUGAGUUCUCCCUGACUCUUUAAGGGUCCUGAAGGAACGUUGAAGACGACGACGUUGAUAGGCCGGGUGUGUAAGCGCAGCGAUGCGUUGAGCUAACCGGUACUAAUGAACCGUGAGGCUUAACCUUACAACGCCGAAGCUGUU